RNAcentral lists this ribosomal RNA (438 nucleotides) under uncultured bacterium. RNAcentral describes it as "bacterial SSU rRNA". It matches the Rfam family "Bacterial small subunit ribosomal RNA", at positions 348 to 785 of the family's 1533-position model. The record is from RNAcentral.
GCAGCAGUGAGGAAUAUUGCUCAAUGGACGAAAGUCUGAAGCAGCAACGCCGCGUGAGGGAUGAAGGUGCUCUGCAUUGUAAACCUCUGUAGUCGGGGACAAAAAACAGGUUAUUACCUGUCUGAUGGUACCCGAAAAGUAAGGAUCGGCUAACUACGUGCCAGCAGCCGCGGUAAUACGUAGGAUCCAAGCGUUGUCCGGAUUUACUGGGUGUAAAGGGUGCGCAGGCGGACUUGUUAGUCAGAGGUGAAAUCUCACUGCUCAACAGUGAAACUGCCUUUGAUACUGCAGGUCUUGAAUCCAGAAGAGAGUUGUGGAAUUCCGAGUGUAGCAGUGAAAUGUGUAGAUAUUCGGAAGAACACCAGCGGCGAAGGCAGCAACUUGGUCUGGUAUUGACGCUCAGGCACGAAAGCAUGGGGAUCAAACAGGAUUAGAUAC